Pongo pygmaeus (Bornean orangutan) is the source of this 3406-nucleotide long non-coding RNA. RefSeq lists it as uncharacterized. The record is from RefSeq and is a predicted model, not a curated record. The transcript is spliced from 4 exons. NCBI's taxonomy places the organism in Eukaryota, Metazoa, Chordata, Mammalia, Primates, Hominidae.
AGUUCUUAACUGUAGACUCUCGCUUUAGCUGGAUAGGAAGAAUUUCUGGACCACUUUGGGGAAGAUCUUUAUAUGUUAAAGCAAGAGUAAGGGUGGAGAGUUAUCCAUUAAGAUGUUGAUGUCUUUUUAAAUAUUCUGAACAUGAGUAAGAACAUCAAACUAUGACUUGUAUUUGCAUAAAUUGAAGCUUUCAGUAAAAUGCUUUUCUUUGACACUGAAAAGUGCAGAAUCUCUUACUAGCAUUGAGCAGGAGAAGGGGAAGCAUCACAUAGUGGAAAGAAUAUUAGUCUUAAGAGGGGGAAAUGAAAAUCCAAUACUGUCUUUUACUAUGUGACUGAAUUUAAUUCCUCUGACUUUUACUUUUUUCAUUCGUAAAGUAUAUAUAAUUUCUGUUGUUGAAAAGAUAAAAGAAAACUUUACAGAUAUAAAGUAUCUUUGUAGAUACAUUUUCUGGCCACUACCAUUCUGAUUUACCUUUGGGGAAAUUAUCUCCACUAUUCUCAAUUCAUGAUGUUCAGAUAGGGCUGACAAUUUCCUAAGAUCAUUGGCUGAGUUUGUGACUCAGAAUUGGCCGAUUAGAGUUCUGCAUUCUUCUGGGCAUAAUAAAUGGUCAGGAUGGACUUGGAUUAAUUCAAGCCAGGCCACUGAACCCUUCUUGAGACUUUCGUUGAAUACAUGGAGAAAGUUACAUUAUCUUUCAGAGAUAACUAUUGUCAACAGUUCCAGUUUGAUGUCUAGUGAGAUAGAUAGAGAGAGAGAGAUAUGCCAAGAGAGUAAAUCAUGGCAUUUCUGUAUGUCUAACUAUAGCAUAUUCUUCAGAAAUCACUGAGACUAUUUAUUUUCUAUUGGAAUUUCAUCUUGAUCUAAGAUCCAUCAACUUCAGUAGGAUUGCUUGGAAAUGGAUGAUAACUGAAAUUUGCUGUCAACUUAGAAACUUCAUCUGUGAUCACUAUUAUCACCUCCUCACCACCAAACCUCAAACCAAAGCUGUGCCCUCUGAAUCCAGUUGUGGGAACACCAUUUAUCAAGGAUGACUGGCAUUUUUGUUUAAAUCAUGUAGUUACUCUGCAAGGUCAAAGGAGGGCCACUACCAUGUCCAUUUUACAGACAGGGAAGAUAAUCCUGCAUUAUUAAAUGGCUAGGAAGAACGAGGCUGGGAUUAAAAUGCACGAUCUCCGAGACGUAUUUUCUAGUGCUCUUUUUGCUACAGUCGCAAAUGGAAGAAUAAGAGCUCUUGAUGCAUGGUAAUUUUACUCAGAUCUGAGAACUAGAAUUUGGCUAAAACAACUAUAUUAUAAAGAUUGAAGAAACUAGAUAGCAAAUCAAUAUUCACACAGAAUAAACUGUAAUGACCAAUUACUCCAAUUUCAAAGAAGUUAACUUGUGUUGCGGCAGCUUUGCAAUUGUUUUCUGAAGAGCUGAAGGAAUAGCUCAAUAAUGUCUGAACUGCACGUUUGGUUUUCAAAGAGCACUGUGUGCAGUGAUUUAGAAUACAACGGUGGGUCAGCAUUUAGUGACAGCAAGAACAGGCUUCAGCUUCAAGAAGCUUCCUGUGAGGUCAGCUGACAGCUCUCUCGGGACCAAAUCCUGACGUAUUAUAAGGAUAACCCAGUCUGCUCUUAAAAUGAGAGGAUUUCUAACAGGAAUUAAUCACGACCUCUUUUUCCUCUCUUUAAAAGCAAGCUGCUUUGUCAUCUUUUUUUUUUUUUUUCUGAAAUCAUCACAAAGAAAGAGUUUGAAAGGGAGUUGUUCUGCUUAAGAUAUUGCAGCAGAUAAUAGACAAAAUAAGAUGGCCGUUAUUGCUUACUGCCCGUCCAUUGCCUCUUACUCUCCUUACAGAAUACCCAAGUGGGUUUUAGGAUAACAAUGGCUUGAUUUUUAAUGUUCAUGAAUAAGAGAAGCUUGUAAGUGAGAGUCUGAAUUUGGAAGACAAUAAAGAAGCAUAGCAAGAGAGAAAAGAGCUGAAUUGGAGGGAAUAGAAUAUAAGCAACCCUUUUUCUGUAUUGCCCCAAGUGAUGUUGGCCUUGUCAAAUACAUCACAGUCUGAGCCAAGUUUUCAGCAGUGUGUGUGAACCACAGCAAGGAAAUAAAUCUAUCAUUUAAGGGCUGCAUUAAUUCCUCUAAGAAGUUGGGGAUUGUGUGUGUGUGUGUGUGUGUGUGUGUGUGUGUGUGUGUACAUGUAAAUUUAAAUCUAAUUGGUUUCAUUUCUUUUGCUCUGUGAAGUGGGAACUUAUAAAGUGUCCAAGGUUUUACUCAGGGUAGCCAUACUGUUUGGAGAGAGUGUGGCAUACCAAAGCUUGCAUGGUUAUGGAGUGUUAGAGCUGGAAAUUGUGUCCAAGCAUGUGGAAUGCUUCCCGUAUUGUCAAAGUGGCCAUUAAGUAUCUUAAAAGUUAAACGCUUUGUCUUGCACUGGGAUCAUUACUUCUGAUUUGAAGACACUUGAAAUCAAAUUCAUGUAAAUUUUAAAGAAGUUCUGCUUAAUCAUACCACACUUUCAGCCACUUUAAGUCAGGUUACCGUGAAUGGGAAAUAAUGUAAAGAACAAUCUUCAGAGAAUGAAUAGAGGGUGUCAACUUCUAACUCCUCUUCCAUGGUCACAGUUGGAUUGUCCAGUGGUGGACACCUGUCUUUAGCCAGUGAUCAGAGCUUUUAAGCACCUGAUUUGAAAGUCCUUUAGCCAGUUCUUUCUUGUUACGGAAACUGUGAAGUUUGAAAGCUAGAUUCUGUUACUUGUAGAGUCCCAACCAAUACCUUCAUUCAUUUGUUAGAGGGCUCAUGUUCUCAAAAGUUUUUCAGUGGCGUUCCAAGAAGUGAGAUAUUCCUACUUGCACAAAACCAAAAAGGACCUUGUUAAAAUACAAAUAUUAUCAAACAGGGCUGUGCAUCAUGCCUAUAACCCACACGAUUACUUUCACAUUAAUUAUCUAUCUGCUGUCCAGUCAGCAACCUUUUCAAGUCUUGGUAGAAAACUCAGCACAAGCCACUUUUGAAAGAAAAGAAAGGCCAGAAGCAAGGGUCAUAGUAGGUGGGGAUGAGACACUUAGGUUUGAGGAUAUCCAGAACAUGCAUGAUUGUGAGAAAUUAACCUCUAAAAUGCAUAUAAAAUUAUUUAGCUCUGAGAGUUGAAUGAAGAUUAAUUAGGAGAGUGCAGUUUAAGGUAUGGAAUAUGGAAUCUAGCUUUUAUUUUAUAUUCAGUAAAUGUCAUCUAUUAUCACAAUAAAAUAUUAAAUGUUUAACAUAAUUGAAUGUUUUUGGUUUAUGAACGAGUUCAAAAGCUUCCAUUACCUAAUGGUUUAAUUUUUAUUGUACAGUUCUGUAUACAAAUAUAAUAUCUUUGGGAUUUGCAAGUCUAGGAAUUAGUUUUUUUCCACACUACUUUUGCUUAUAAUAAAAUUUAUAUAUACCC